This 425-nucleotide ribosomal RNA is filed under the name uncultured bacterium. RNAcentral describes it as "partial 16S ribosomal RNA". It matches the Rfam family "Bacterial small subunit ribosomal RNA", at positions 354 to 796 of the family's 1533-position model. The record is from RNAcentral.
GUGGGGAAUCUUGCGCAAUGGGCGAAAGCCUGACGCAGCCAUGCCGCGUGAAUGAUGAAGGUCUUAGGAUUGUAAAAUUCUUUCACCGGGGACGAUAAUGACGGUACCCGGAGAAGAAGCUCCGGCUAACUUCGUGCCAGCAGCCGCGGUAAUAUGAAGGGGGCUAGCGUUGCUCGGAAUUACUGGGCGUAAAGGGCGCGUAGGCGGACAGCUUAGUCAGAGGUGAAAGCCCAGGGCUCAACCGUGGAAUUGCCUUUGAUACUGGCUGUCUUGAGUGUGGGAGAGGUGAGUGGAACUCCGAGUGUAGAGGUGAAAUUCGUAGAUAUUCGGAAGAACACCAGUGGCGAAGGCGACUCACUGGCCCAAUACUGACGCUGAGGCGCGAAAGCGUGGGGAGCAAACAGGAUUAGAAACCCCGGUAGUCC